RNAcentral lists this ribosomal RNA (301 nucleotides) under uncultured bacterium. RNAcentral's name for it is "partial 16S ribosomal RNA". It matches the Rfam family "Bacterial small subunit ribosomal RNA", at positions 509 to 807 of the family's 1533-position model. The record is from RNAcentral.
CAGCCGCCGCGGGAAUACGAAGGGGGCUAGCGUUGUUCGGAAUAACUGGGCGUAAAGGGCGCGUAGGCGGAUCUUUAAGUCAGGGGUGAAAUCCCAAGGCUCAACCUUGGAACUGCCUUUGAUACUGGAGAUCUUGAGUCCGGGAGAGGUGAGUGGAACUGCGAGUGUAGAGGUGAAAUUCGUAGAUAUUCGGAGGAACACCAGUGGCGAAGGCGGCUCACUGGUCCAUUACUGACGCUGAGGUGCGAAAGCGUGGGGAGCAAACAGGAUUAGAUACCCCUGUAGUCCCUGUCUCUUAUAC